GAGCGCCUCAUACACGACGAGUUUUGAUGGAUUCGUGUAGUGACAUCUCGAUCCCGAAGCCAAGUAUGUUUUGUUUCCCUCUGAGAUCUCACCCUGGAUCAACCAAUAGCUAGAGAUCUGAAUGAGAAUAGGUUCAUUUACCUUACUAAGGACUUCAAAUCAUACUCCCUCUGUUUUUAAAUAUAAGUCUUUUUAGAUAUUUCAAUACGGACUACAUACGGAUGGAGGGAGUAGUUCAGUAGAGGAAAAUACCACGUCACUUGUAAUGGAGUUUCACGUGUCAAACAUAUAUGUGUGCUGACUACAUGCCCCUGCAAGUGUGUUGAUUCUCAUGUCAGUUUAGUAAUUGUAGUUAUAUCCCAGGUUCAUUUACAUCGGCAGACUACAUGCAGUUGCUUGUUCAUAACCUAUGUUUAGGCGUUUGUUUGUUUUCCUCCAGCUGUACACUAAAUUAGUACUAUCCCUGAGUGAAGAUAACGUUUCCAGUAAGAGAAUUGACAAUACUGACAAUGACGUGAUAUUUCAUAGCGUUGUCAAUGUCAGGUAUGUCACAAAUUGCUCUCUUUUUACUUAGCCAAAUUAUUUUACUACCUGGGGUAUUAUGGAAUUUUGUUUCUAAAACAGAUUGUGUGGUGUUUUGUCCUGGAGUGUUUGCACUGAAAUGGCAAAGUAAUAUAGUAUUUCGGCGGCGUGGCUGCUUCGUCAUCGAAGAACCGUCCAACGCAAUUUUCCGCUGGCAUGUCCCAUUGAAUGUCAUUGCUUUUAUCAUGGCAUCCAACACUUGCAGAUGUGACUCAAAAGGGGGUUCUGAAGCUGAUGAACUUGGAUGGCCUGACAGUCUACCAUACCAACAACCAUCUCCAAGUACACAAACUUGAAAACUUUCUAAGAUUCGUACACACCUUCAGAUUUGCUUUCCAAGUAAAGAUCAGAAAGCCGACAACGUUUCUAUUGUGUUUUAGGAGAAAUUUGGAUCUUUUUGGACAGUUAUUGCAACCAUCUGUCUGAAUGAGUAUAAAAACAAUGCUAUGAGGACAAAGAGGAGAUAAAAGGAGUAUUGGAAAGCUUAAAACCAGCCACCCAGAACCACUCUGCCUGGAGAAAGAAGACAAUAUUUGGCAUGAUCUGUUUCAUCUACUACAGGUGACUCCGUUAGGACACCAGGAACAUGAUUGCAGUCCAGGAUACCAUACUGCAACCUCAAUCCAUCGAAUGUAAUUCAGUGAGAUAUAUAUGUUCUCAUUUACCAGACUUCAGUGUUCAAUUCAAUUAAAUCUGUUAGCUUACUGAUUGCUGCAUAACUACCAUUUCUCAAAUGUACGAUGUGGUUUCUGCUGUUGAUUUCAAAUUGGCGAGAUAUAGUUAAACUUAGGUUAUUGUCAUAUUAGCGGGGGAAAAUCUUGAUUCCUAAAUGCAGUAGGCUAACUGUCAAUAAAUCUUUUAUGUAUAAUACACUGCCUGGAAUGUAGCUCUAAAUACUUCUGUAAAAUCAGGACAUUCGUUAUUGGUUUUUCUAUUUUUUAGUUAAAACAGAUAUGAUGCAUGUGCAACUGUACAUGCCAAGUUCUGAAGCUCAUAUGUUCCGUACAUAGUUUUAGUUAUGAAGCAAAUAGCUCAAGAUAUUUCAGAUUGGAAGAACUUAGUUUGUGACGUGUGAUGUUUUCUAAUGGCAUUGAAUACUGUAUAAUUUAAGAUAUGAAUCAUUAAAAUUUGUUUUACUCAUACAAACCAGAAUGUGUCAUGAUAAUGUAAGCAUGCAACAUUGUACUGCCAUAUAAU
Molecule: non-coding RNA, 1779 nt
Organism: Triticum urartu
Lineage: Eukaryota; Viridiplantae; Streptophyta; Magnoliopsida; Poales; Poaceae
Source: RefSeq, a predicted model, not a curated record